GACGAACGCUGGCGGCGUGCUUAACACAUGCAAGUCGAACGAUGACGACCGAGCUUGCUCGGUCUGAUUAGUGGCGAACGGGUGAGUAACACGUGAGCAACCUGCCCUUCACUCUGGGAUAACCUCGGGAAAUCGGGGCUAAUACCGGAUAUGAGCUCCUGUCGCAUGGCGGGUGUUGGAAAGUUUUUCGGUGAAGGAUGGGCUCGCGGCCCAUCAGUUUGUUGGUGAGGUAGUGGCUCACCAAGGCGAUGACGGGUAGCCGGCCUGAGAGGGCGACCGGCCACACUGGGACUGAGACACGGCCCAGACUCCUACGGGAGGCAGCAGUGGGGAAUAUUGCACAAUGGGCGAAAGCCUGAUGCAGCGACGCCGCGUGAGGGAUGACGGCCUUCGGGUUGUAAACCUCUUUCAGCAGGGAAGAAGCGAAAGUGACGGUACCUGCAGAAGAAGCGCCGGCUAACUACGUG
This 467-nucleotide ribosomal RNA is filed under the name uncultured bacterium. RNAcentral describes it as "partial 16S ribosomal RNA". It matches the Rfam family "Bacterial small subunit ribosomal RNA", at positions 28 to 507 of the family's 1533-position model. The record is from RNAcentral.